AGAGUUUGAUCCUGGCUCAGAUUGAACGCUGGCGGCAUGCCUUACACAUGCAAGUCGAACGGCAGCACGGGAGCAAUCCUGGUGGCGAGUGGCGAACGGGUGAGUAAUAUAUCGGAACGUGCCCAGUCGUGGGGGAUAACGCAGCGAAAGCUGUGCUAAUACCGCAUACGAUCUACGGAUGAAAGCGGGGGAUCGCAAGACCUCGCGCGAUUGGAGCGGCCGAUAUCAGAUUAGCUAGUUGGCGGGGUAAAAGCCCACCAAGGCGACGAUCUGUAGCUGGUCUGAGAGGACGACCAGCCACACUGGAACUGAGACACGGUCCAGACUCCUACGGGAGGCAGCAGUGGGGAAUUUUGGACAAUGGGCGCAAGCCUGAUCCAGCAAUGCCGCGUGCAGGAUGAAGGCCUUCGGGUUGUAAACUGCUUUUGUACGGAACGAAACGGUCUGUCCUAAUACGAUGGGCUAAUGACGGUACCGUAAGAAUAAGCACCGGCUAACUACGUGCCAGCAGCCGCGGUAAUACGUAGGGUGCGAGCGUUAAUCGGAAUUACUGGGCGUAAAGCGUGCGCAGGCGGUUAUAUAAGACAGAUGUGAAAUCCCCGGGCUCAACCUGGGACCUGCAUUUGUGACUGUAUAGCUAGAGUACGGUAGAGGGGGAUGGAAUUCCGCGUGUAGCAGUGAAAUGCGUAGAUAUGCGGAGGAACACCGAUGGCGAAGGCAAUCCCCUGGACCUGUACUGACGCUCAUGCACGAAAGCGUGGGGAGCAAACAGGAUUAGAUACCCUGGUAGUCCACGCCCUAAACGAUGUCAACUGGUUGUUGGGUCUUCACUGACUCAGUAACGAAGCUAACGCGUGAAGUUGACCGCCUGGGGAGUACGGCCGCAAGGUUG
This 892-nucleotide ribosomal RNA is filed under the name uncultured beta proteobacterium. RNAcentral describes it as "bacterial SSU rRNA". It matches the Rfam family "Bacterial small subunit ribosomal RNA", at positions 8 to 896 of the family's 1533-position model. Lineage: Bacteria; Pseudomonadati; Pseudomonadota; Betaproteobacteria. The record is from RNAcentral.